UCUCCGUUGGUGAACCAGCGGAGGGAUCAUUACCGAGUGCAAAUUCAUAACCCUCUGUGCACCUAUAUCUGUUGCUUCGGAGGCACGCUCUCGGGCCAGCCCGCCGGUAAUAUCAGUAUCUCUGUUUAAACCCGACGAUACUUCUGAGUGUUCUUAGCGAACAGUUAAAACUUUUAACAACGGAUCUCUUGGCUCUA
This 197-nucleotide unclassified non-coding RNA is filed under the name plant metagenome. Its description in RNAcentral is "partial contains small subunit ribosomal RNA, internal transcribed spacer 1, and 5.8S ribosomal RNA". The record is from RNAcentral.